RNAcentral lists this ribosomal RNA (510 nucleotides) under uncultured bacterium. Its description in RNAcentral is "partial 16S ribosomal RNA". It matches the Rfam family "Bacterial small subunit ribosomal RNA", at positions 28 to 507 of the family's 1533-position model. The record is from RNAcentral.
GACGAACGCUGGCGGCGUGCUUAACACAUGCAAGUCGAACGAAGAGCGAUGGAAGCUUGCUUCUAUCAAUCUUAGUGGCGAACGGGUGAGUAACGCGUAAUCAACCUGCCCUUCAGAGGGGGACAACAGUUGGAAACGACUGCUAAUACCGCAUACGAUCUAAUCUCGGCAUCGAGGAUAGAUGAAAGGUGGCCUCUACAUGUAAGCUAUCACUGAAGGAGGGGAUUGCGUCUGAUUAGCUAGUUGGAGGGGUAACGGCCCACCAAGGCGAUGAUCAGUAGCCGGUCUGAGAGGAUGAACGGCCACAUUGGGACUGAGACACGGCCCAGACUCCUACGGAAGGCAGCAGUGGGGAAUCUUCCGCAAUGGACGAAAGUCUGACGGAGCAACGCCGCGUGAGCGAUGACGGCCUUCGGGUUGUAAAGCUCUGUUAAUCGGGACGAAAGGCCUUCUUGCGAAUAGUGAGAAGGAUUGACGGUACCGGAAUAGAAAGCCACGGCUAACUACGUG